RNAcentral lists this ribosomal RNA (227 nucleotides) under uncultured Lactobacillus sp. RNAcentral's name for it is "partial 16S ribosomal RNA". It matches the Rfam family "Bacterial small subunit ribosomal RNA", at positions 137 to 355 of the family's 1533-position model. The record is from RNAcentral. Lineage: Bacteria; Bacillati; Bacillota; Bacilli; Lactobacillales; Lactobacillaceae.
AUCGGGAUAACACCUNGGGAAACAGAUGCUAAUACCGGAUAACAACAGAUGAUGCCUAUCAACUGUUUAAAAGAUGGUUCUGCUAUCACUCUUGGAUGGACCUGCGGUGCAUUAGCUAGUUGGUAGGGUAACGGCCUACCAAGGCGAUGAUGCAUAGCCGAGUUGAGAGACUGAUCGGCCACAUUGGGACUGAGACACGGCCAAAACUCCUACGGGAGGCAGCAGCA